UAAGGAAUAUUGGUCAAUGGACGCAAGUCUGAACCAGCCAUGCCGCGUGAAGGAUGAAGGUCCUCUGGAUUGUAAACUUCUUUUAUCUGGGACGAAAACGGGAUUUUUAUCUCAAUUGACGGUACCAGAGGAAUAAGCACCGGCUAACUCCGUGCCAGCAGCCGCGGUAAUACGGAGGGUGCGAGCGUUAUCCGGAUUUACUGGGUUUAAAGGGUGCGUAGGUGGGCUUAUAAGUCAGUGGUGAAAACUCCGAGCUUAACUUGGAAACUGCCGGUGAUACUAUAGGUCUUGAAUUAUCUGGAGGUAAGCGGAAUAUGUCAUGUAGCGGUGAAAUGCUUAGAUAUGACAUAGAACACCAAUUGCGAAGGCAGCUUACUACAUAUAAAUUGACGCUGAGGCACGAAAGCGUGGGGACCAAACA
Molecule: ribosomal RNA, 421 nt
Filed under: uncultured bacterium
Lineage: Bacteria
Description: bacterial SSU rRNA
Rfam family: Bacterial small subunit ribosomal RNA
Source: RNAcentral